RNAcentral lists this ribosomal RNA (464 nucleotides) under uncultured Bradyrhizobiaceae bacterium. Its description in RNAcentral is "bacterial SSU rRNA". It matches the Rfam family "Bacterial small subunit ribosomal RNA", at positions 920 to 1382 of the family's 1533-position model. The record is from RNAcentral. Lineage: Bacteria; Pseudomonadati; Pseudomonadota; Alphaproteobacteria; Hyphomicrobiales; Nitrobacteraceae.
CCCGCACAAGCGGUGGAGCAUGUGGUUUAAUUCGACGCAACGCGCAGAACCUUACCAGCCUUGACAUCCCGGUCGCGGUUUCCAGAGAUGGAUUCCUUUCAGUUCGGCUGGACCGGUGACAGGUGCUGCAUGGCUGUCGUCAGCUCGUGUCGUGAGAUGUUGGGUUAAGUCCCGCAACGAGCGCAACCCCGUCCUUAGUUGCUACCAUUUAGUUGAGCACUCUAAGGAGACUGCCGGUGAUAAGCCGCGAGGAAGGUGGGGAUGACGUCAAGUCCUCAUGGCCCUUACGGGCUGGGCUACACACGUGCUACAAUGGCGGUGACAAUGGGACGCUAAGAGGCAACUCUUCGCAAAUCUCAAAAAGCCGUCUCAGUUCGGAUUGGGCUCUGCAACUCGAGCCCAUGAAGUUGGAAUCGCUAGUAAUCGUGGAUCAGCAUGCCACGGUGAAUACGUUCCCGGGCCUU